This is a non-coding RNA of Paramuricea clavata, 1345 nucleotides long. The record is from the annotation of a GenBank genome assembly. NCBI's taxonomy places the organism in Eukaryota, Metazoa, Cnidaria, Anthozoa, Malacalcyonacea, Plexauridae.
GGCAAUACUGCAGUUAUAUAAUCCUUCGUUCUUUUAGUUUUCGCAACUUUCGAUUUGUAAACACUGCAGGAUUUUUGAGCAAUUUCUCCAACCAAAUAACUAACUAUGGAUCUGGUGAGUCAAUUUACAGUUAAAUCUUUGAAUAGAGUAGAUAUUUACGCGGUUUUAACGUUUCCACAUCGAAUUCAAGUGACCGAUAUUUUUUAUAUGUGGCGGCUCAGCCAGUCUGUUAUCUGCUGUAUAAUGUACCUAUAUUGUACUACUGUGCCGUGUGCGCGCAAUCUAUACAUGAUAUCUUGCUUUUUUUCAAAAGGUUCGCUCAUUUAAACUUAACACCGGAGCAGUAAUGCCUUCAAUUGGCCUGGGGUAAGCAAUUACAUGCGUUGAUAGAAUUGUAUGUUAUUGUAUAUUGUACAGAGUGUAUCAUGCUGUCAUGGUACACUGCAUUUCGAAUGUGUACAAAACAAUUUACAUUUGUUAACACCUUUACACAUAAGGAAUGUUGCUGACAGGGUAAUUAGAAUGUUUCCUACACUGGAUCAAUAAGAGAUGAUCCUUACUGGACCUCUAGAGAGAACAGUUUAGAAGUGCUAGAGCUUCCAGUAUAAAUAAAGUUUAAUAGUUUAGUUUAGGUUUCCUCCUGUAGUAAUACUGGAUCAAUAAGAGAUCAUCCUUACUGAACCUCUAGGAAGAACAGUUUAGAACUGAUAGAGCUAUCCAGUAUAAAUAAAGUUAGUUUAGUUUAGGUUUCCUCCUGUAGUAACACUGGAUCAAUAAGAGAUGAUCCUUACUGGACCUCUAGGAAGAACAGUUUAGAACUGAUAGAGCUAUCCAGUAUAAAUAAAGUUAGUUUAGUUUAGGUUUCCUCCUGUAGUUGACUACUGGAUCAAUAAGAGAUGAUCCUUACUGGACCUAUAGGAAGAACAGUUUAGAACUGCCAGAGCUUCCAGUAUAAAUAAAGUUAGUUUAGUUUAUGUUUCCUCUUGUAGUAACACUGGAUCAAUAAGAGAUGAUACUUACUGGACCUCUAGGGAGAACAGUUUAGAACUGAUAGAGCUAUCCAGUAGAAGUUUAGUUCAUAGUAACUCAGCUACGUAAGUAAAAUGCCUCUGUAUUAACAAGCCCUAAAUCACUUUAUCUCAUGCAGAACAUGGAAAUCAAAGCCAGGCGAGGUUGGCAAGGCUGUCAAAGCAGCGAUCAGAGCCGGGUACAAACACAUUGACUGUGCUCAUUACUAUGGUAACGAAGCGGAGAUCGGGCAGGCUCUUGCCGAGGUCUUGAAGGAAGUUGGUAUGAAGCGAGAAGACAUAUUUAUUACCUCAAAAUUGUGGCAUGAAAUACAUGU